Oryctolagus cuniculus (rabbit) is the source of this 2383-nucleotide non-coding RNA. The record is from RefSeq and is a predicted model, not a curated record. Lineage: Eukaryota; Metazoa; Chordata; Mammalia; Lagomorpha; Leporidae.
CUCUUCGAUCGGUUUUCUCCGUAGGCUCCAUCCCUCGCUGCCAUCUUGAUUAGAAGUUUUCAUUUAAUCUUGGGCUCUCACCAGCUGCCACCACGUCUCUGCUCCCCGCUGUCAGGGUUAGAUGGGCUCGCGGUUGACGGAGGUCGGAGGAUCUCACUGAGGGUGCAGGAGGACUCCACGCUCACUUCUUUCCCCAGCACAAAGGCUCGGUCAGAGCCGAGGCCAAGGAGAUCCGAGAUGGCCGACAUCAGGUCCUUGAGAGGGAGAUUUAUUUUGAAGGUAAAGAGAGACAAAUCUCCCAUCACUCCCCAGAUGCUCACCCAACAGCUGGGACUGGGCCAGGCAGAAGGCGCAUUAGCAGGGAGCUGGAUAGGAAGAGGAGCAGCCGGGACUCAAAUCGGCGCUCCUACGGGAUGCCGCCAUCACCGACGGUGACUCAACACCAGCUCCUCCUGUGACUUUCUGUAUUCUUGUCCCUCCGUGACUCACAUGGCUUUAUUUUAUUGUUAAACUUUUAAUUCUAAUUUUAAAAUAAAUUCUACAACUUCAACCUACCAAACCUGUCAGUAGUGGUCCCAUCCGUCAACCCAUCUGGGCCUGAGCAUCCCCGUGGAAUGCAGGGACGUUACCCUCCUGUGGCUGAGAAAGCUGAGGCUUGUGCUGUUCAGAAGGUUUGCCCAGCCCAAAGAGGGGAAUGGGUUUCUUUUAAAAAUGUGAGAGAGAGAGAGAGAGCGAGAGAGAGCUCUUCCAUCUGCUAGUCCACUCCCCAAAUGGCUGUGUCAGCUAAGGCGGGGCCAGGCUAAAGCUGGGAGCCUGGAACUCCACCCGGCUCUCCCACGUGGGUGGCAGGGACCCAAGCACUUGAGGCACCGCCUGCUGCCACCCAGGAUGCGCAUUUGCAGGCAGCUGGAUUGGAAGUGGAAACAACUGGGAUCAGGUUUUCUGAUAGGAGGUGUGUCCCAAGGAUGUGUUUCUACUUCCAUCAUGGAGCCUCAGGCUGGCCAUGGACUUGCAAGAGACCACAUGGCUGGCAAACGGCAGAGCCUCCCAGCCUGGCCCGACUCACCUUUCCUAACACACGGCACAGGCGUGGUUCUCAUUCACCAGCUGACUUGUUGCUAACCCCGGGGUCUGUACUCCAAGUGAAGCUGGAGGCACAGGUGAGGUGCCACCGACCCCUGGAUAAAGCCCCUCGCGGUCAGCCCCGGUGCCCCCUCCAGGCUGCAGACCUCUGCCCUGCCUCUCUGCCUCCUUCCCUAGGCCCUGGCUCUUCCGUCCACUCUGCCUACUGCAGCCUGUGCUCCUGGCGCCUCCCAGUGGCUAGCAGUAUCAGUGCAUCAAAGACUAAUCAGAUUCCUGGGAAAAUCCCUGGGAUGGGAGAAUACAGAGAUUGAAGAACCCUUAGGCUCCGAUUAUUUUAUAAAUAAUUUCCAUUGUUUUCCCCAGAGGCGAACUGACCUGAGCCCAGAGAAGGACCUAGGAAUCCUGGUAUCCAGGCCGGUUUCCUAGAUGGGCCAUCUUUGAGUAGUGACAUGUGUGACCAAGUGACUGAAUAGGAGUGACACGUGUGAUUCAGGGAAGGAAAUGACCCAAAGCAUCCCUGAGGUUUUAGGGCCAACAGCACGAGCUAAGUAGAUUUCAGCGGGGUCUUGUGCUUGGGCAUAUAGCUCUGGGGAAAGGAAGACUGGCGUCGUGGGUAAAGUCACUGCCAACAGUACCUGCGUCCCACAUGGGCACCGGUUUGAGUCCCGGCUGCUUCACUUCUGAUCCAGUUCUCUGCUAUGGCCUGGGAAAGCAAGAGAAGAUGGCCCAAGUCCAUAGACCCCUGCACUUGUGUAGGAGACCCGGAAGAAGCUCCUGGCUCCUGGUUUGAGAUCAGCAAAGCUCUGGCUGUUGUGGCCAUCUGGAGAGUGAACCAGCAGAUGGAAGACCUCUCUAUCUCUCUCUACCACUGCCUCUCUGUAACUCUGCCUUUCAAAUAAAUAUUUAAAAAGAAAGAAAAAAGGAGUGGGUUACAACUUCCCUGCACGUCAAUUUCCUCCUCUGUAAAAUGGGGAGAAAAAGAGCAUCCAGGUCCUUCGCAGGAGUGAUAUGGUGCACAAGGCACAGUGCCUGGCAUCGCAUAGGAAAUUAACUCGGGAGAGUCUUUGUGACUCGGCUUGGGUGAAGAUCUCUCAGAGGCAGCAGUGACAGCGCCGUCUGUCCAAGAAAACGAUGGGCAAAGUGGACUUCAUAGAAAGGAAGAACUGCUCCCAGGAAGACAAGCUGCGAGAAGGAGACGUCAAGUCACAGACCGGAAGAAAGCAUCUGCAGGUCAGGAAUUUGAUGAGAGACCUGUGUGUCCCGCAGUCCUUCCGGACCUGUUGGGUUCAGGCAUCCGAAG